GGGGACGCCACGGAGAAAUUGAGAAAUGCAAGGCGACGAAGCCAGAAUCUUGCUUGGGUUCUCUCCUUGUUCCCGUCCGUCUUCUUCCCAGGUUAAAGAAGCUUACAAGAGGAAGGUAUGGGAUACUCAUCCUGACCUGUUCCCUGCUCAUGAAAAGCCUCUGGCGGAGUCCAAAUUCAAAUUGAUUUCUGAAGCUUAUUCAUGCCUCCUAUCUGGUGCCAGAAAUGGGGAUUCACAUUCAGCAUAUGAAAGGGUUGUCAGAAGAGGGGUUCCUGUUUCCCAUGGGGGAAGAAGAAACCAUGCCUUAAUCAAGCUUCCCUUUCUCUUACUCAUUCUGGGGACUGUAUCACUUGGAGGAUUAAAUGUUUCCAGGGCUUACAAGAAGCAGAAGGAAACCUAUCCUUCUCACAAUCCUUUUCUUCCUUGAGGCCAAGAAGAAAUGACGCAAAAAGCAGGAGCCUCUGAUGUUUGUUGCUUGAGUUUAGCUUGUUUCGGGAGUGUGUAAAGAUAGGAAAGUCUGCCUCCUGUUAUUGGAAAGGAAGGGUAAAUUUGUUGGGGUUUCUCCGCAUAUAGCCUAUAGUUACACAAUUGUUA
This 594-nucleotide unclassified non-coding RNA is filed under the name Hevea brasiliensis (rubber tree). Lineage: Eukaryota; Viridiplantae; Streptophyta; Magnoliopsida; Malpighiales; Euphorbiaceae. The record is from RNAcentral.